UCGGUUCUUUGUUAUGGCGGGGACAAGGACCGAGGAAAGUACACAACGCUCCCCAAACAGGAACAGAAGUGGAAAGCAGCUUCCACAGAGAGAAUUAUCUCCCCCUUAAUCAGUUAAGUAACUGUGACCAGGACAGGAGAUAAAACUCAGAGGUGUAAAUAAACCUGUGUGGAUAAAGAGUGCUGAGAUCUGGACCAACACAGUCACCUAAAUAACCCUAUCCUUAAGACAAAACUUCAAAGGAAUUCUACAUCACCUGUAUACUUCAUUCCUAUGGUCCUACCCAAAAGGCCCUAUAAACCCCAAACCUUAAACCUUUAAGCAUGCCUCCUAAGGUUGCCCACACUCCCCUUCUUCAAAUGUGCACUUUUUGCCUUAAAUAAAGACUUCUUACUGCUCAA
Manis javanica (Malayan pangolin) is the source of this 401-nucleotide non-coding RNA. Lineage: Eukaryota; Metazoa; Chordata; Mammalia; Pholidota; Manidae. The record is from RefSeq and is a predicted model, not a curated record.